RNAcentral lists this ribosomal RNA (493 nucleotides) under uncultured Actinomycetes bacterium. RNAcentral's name for it is "bacterial SSU rRNA". It matches the Rfam family "Bacterial small subunit ribosomal RNA", at positions 355 to 856 of the family's 1533-position model. The record is from RNAcentral. Lineage: Bacteria; Bacillati; Actinomycetota; Actinomycetes.
UGGGGAAUAUUGCGCAAUGGGCGAAAGCCUGACGCAGCGACGCCGCGUGAGGGAUGAAGGCCUUCGGGUCGUAAACCUCUUUCAGCAGGGAAGAAGCGAAAGUGACGGUACCUGCAGAAGAAGCACCGGCUAACUACGUGCCAGCAGCCGCGGUAACACGUAGGGUGCAAGCGUUGUCCGGAAUUAUUGGGCGUAAAGAGCUCGUAGGCGGUCUGUCGCGUCUGCUGUGAAAACUCAGGGCUUAACCCUGAGCUUGCAGUGGGUACGGGCAGACUAGAGUGCGGUAGGGGAGACUGGAAUUCCUGGUGUAGCGGUGAAAUGCGCAGAUAUCAGGAGGAACACCGGUGGCGAAGGCGGGUCUCUGGGCCGUAACUGACGCUGAGGAGCGAAAGCAUGGGGGAGCGAACAGGGAUUAGAUACCCUGGUAGUCCAUGCCGUAAACGUUGGGCGCUAGGUGUGGGGCUCAUUCCACGAGUUCCGUGCCGCAGCUAAC